GCUGGGCAUGGUGGUGCAUGCCUGUAAUCCCAGUAGCUUGGGAGGCUGAGGGAGGAGUAUUGUGGGUUCAAAGCCAGCCUCAGCAACUUAGCAAGGCACUUAGCAACUCAGUGAGACCCUGUGUCUA
This 127-nucleotide small RNA is filed under the name Marmota monax (woodchuck). The record is from RNAcentral. Lineage: Eukaryota; Metazoa; Chordata; Mammalia; Rodentia; Sciuridae.